AGACUCCUACGGGAGGCAGCAGUAAGGAAUAUUGGUCAAUGGGCGGAAGCCUGAACCAGCCAUGCCGCGUGCAGGAAGACGGCCCUACGGGUUGUAAACUGCUUUUGCAGGGGAAUAAACCUCGUUAUGUAUAACGAGCUGAAUGUACUCUGAGAAUAAGGAUCGGCUAACUCCGUGCCAGCAGCCGCGGUAAUACGGAGGAUCCGAGCGUUAUCCGGAUUUAUUGGGUUUAAAGGGUGCGUAGGCGGCUCAUUAAGUCAGGGGUGAAAGACGGUAGCUUAACUAUCGCAGUGCCUUUGAUACUGAUGAGCUUGAAUGUAGUUGAGGUAGGCGGAAUGUGACAAGUAGCGGUGAAAUGCAUAGAUAUGUCACAGAACACCAAUUGCGAAGGCAGCUUACUAAAGUAUGAUUGACGCUGAGGCACGAAAGCGUGGGGAUCAAACAGGAUUAGAUACCCUGGUAGUCCACGCCCUAAACGAUGAAUACUCGAUGUUAGCGAUAUACAGUUAGCGUCAAAGCGAAAG
Molecule: ribosomal RNA, 524 nt
Filed under: uncultured bacterium
Lineage: Bacteria
Description: bacterial SSU rRNA
Rfam family: Bacterial small subunit ribosomal RNA
Source: RNAcentral